Molecule: ribosomal RNA, 460 nt
Filed under: uncultured bacterium
Lineage: Bacteria
Description: partial 16S ribosomal RNA
Rfam family: Bacterial small subunit ribosomal RNA
Source: RNAcentral
CCUACGGGAGGCAGCAGUGAGGAAUAUUGGUCAAUGGGCGCAAGCCUGAACCAGCCAAGUCGCGUGAGGGAUGACGGUCCUAUGGAUUGUAAACCUCUUUUGUCGGGGAGCAAAGCGCGGUACGAGUACCGUUAAGGAGAGUACCCGAAGAAAAAGCAUCGGUUAACUCCGUGCCAGCAGCCGCGGUAAUACGGGGGCUGCGAGCGUUAUCCGGUUUUAUUGGGUUAAAGGGGUGCGUAGGCGGAUUAGUAAGGCGGCGGGAAAAAUGCGGUGCUCAACGCCGUAUCGCCAUUGAAACUGCGGGUCUUGAGUGAGCGAGAGGUAUGCGGAAUGCGUGGUGUAGCGGUGAAAUGCAUAGAUAUCACGCAGAACUCCGAUUGCGAAGGCAGCAUACCGGCGCUCAACUGACGCUGAGGCACGAAAGCGUGGGGAUCGAACAGGAUUAGAUACCCGGGUAGUC